Molecule: long non-coding RNA, 5051 nt
Filed under: Sus scrofa (pig)
Lineage: Eukaryota; Metazoa; Chordata; Mammalia; Artiodactyla; Suidae
Description: lncRNA (ENSSSCG00015036659.1)
Source: RNAcentral
AGCAAUAACUGGAUAUUUAUUUUAGAGUAUGGCUGUUCAUCUUUUAGGUGUGAAAUGGCCCCGUAUAGAGAGUAGAGCCCCAGCCAGGCCUGGCCAGUCCAAUUCCUUCACGAAUUUCACGUCCAUGUACUGAGCGGAAAGCAGAUUCCACUUCCCUCUUGGAUGUUCAGGACCCAACAGAUAUCAGGAAAGAGAGGACUAAGGCAAGGCCAGCCUGGGCUGCAGGUGUGUGGUCUGCCAGGCGCGUGCCUUGGCACAGAGACACAGACGGACAAGGCAGGGCUCGGGGUCAGAAGGCCCACCGCGCUGCACAGACCCCGCCAGCCGCAUGCGGCUGUUCACGUUUAUCUCAUUAAAACUCGGCAAAGUUGAAAAUUCAUUUCCUGAGAUACACCAGUCCCAUUUCAGAGCUCUGAUGGCCACCCGUGUCGUCAGUUGGGACAGUGAGUUCUAGAACCUUCCAGCACAGCAGAAAGUCUCCUGGACUGCGCCGUGUGGGGGAGGCUGAGGGUAGAUGCAGCUUGUGGCAGGGCAGUGAGCCAAGAGGUGCUGCGGUGCAAACCGGGGGUGGAGACGAGGAGGCCGUGUGCGGUGGGGCUGUGGGGAGCCCCGGCCUCGUUCCUGCUGGAAGCUCGGGACAGGCCCUGAGCUCCCAGAGCCGGCGUCCCGUGUCCAGCGGGGCCUCGGUCAGCUCAUGCCUCCCGUUCCUCUGUCCUGCCGAUGACCGGCUCCCGGGAAGACCCGCCAUGCCCAGGGAGGUCUGCAGCUGGCAUUUCCCCUUCGAGAUUCAAGGCGUGUCACACCACCCAGUCUCCACCCCCAGAGGCCCCUUUAGUUGUGCCCGGGGUGCAAAGCAGCCCGGCAGUGCCACUGGCUCCCCUCUGGUGGCCGACAACCACAAACAGUCUGAGCCCAGCCUGAUGCCCGCCCGUCACUAACCCAGAGGCCCAUCCCUGCCCUGUCUGGACCAGGCCCUUAUACCCACAGUCUGCUUCUGUCUGUGUCUCCACCUCCCGAAUGACCUAAAUCCACCCAUGCCGUUUUGUCCUUUCAGUGACAGAGGGCACCAAGGGUGGCCCUCUCAGCAGGCGCCACUGUGACGCCGCAGUUGAGGCAGAAGGCAGAAGGUGGGUCUUGUCUGGGAGGAGGGGGCUUUUCUGCUCAGCGUGGACUCGGUGCCCAAGCCUGGGUUUCAGGGCACCCUUACCUCUUUUGCGCUUUGAAUCAUUUUUUCUCUUGGCUAAAUGUUUAUUCUGGAGUUGAUGGAGGCUGCCUGUCCGCAAUGACAUCUAAGGCAUCAGGGCUCCAAACGGCUGUUGGUAAAAGACGCAUUGGGGGCGUGGAAGGCUUCGGACAGUUGAGCCUCUCUGUGACUCAGUAUCUCCACUCGCCGGCUGGCACAAGCAUGGAAGCAGCGACAUAAAUGUUGAGUGGGUCCCAUUGGUGAUAUAGAUCAAACGAAGCCCCUAGAUGUGGUCAGGGUUGGGAAGCAGCCUGAGUUUGGACGGCUGCAUACGGGGCGAUGCAGGCGCAGCUGUAGAGUCUGAGAGUGGGUGCUGGGCAGCAGGUGGCCAGGGACCAGGGGCUCCAGCAGGGGGGCAGCACCAGAGGCAGUGAGGUUUGGGUGAACUUUGUGGAGUCUUCUGUGAUGGUGGAUUCAGGGACAAGGAUCCAGAGCCUGGAAGGACUGAGAAAAGUCAAACAGAGCCCCAAGCCUGGGAAAAAUAGAGCAUCAGGCCAGGAAGUGGGCUCAUAGUAAUGAGGCAGAAAGAUACACACUGGACCCAUGGACACAAGGAAGACGCUAACAGCCCAGCUGGAAUUUGCUCACCACAGAAAAAUCCUGAAAUGAUUGUGACUGCCAACUGAAGCCCUGUGUGUGCCAGCUGUUUAUAAACCCAGACCUAUACACACCCGAUGGGACGCAUACUUCUCCAUCAUAACACUGGACAAUGUUGGCUCCACCCUCAGGCAGGAACUGCCCUCAUGGAAACAGGAUGGCUGCCUGAGCACCAGACUUGCAUCCUAUCUCCCUGAGCUACCCCAGUCAGAGAAAUUUUUUGGUUUCCUGGUACAUGCAAACGUUAUGUUUACACUGCACUGUUGUCUAGCAUGUCUAAGAAAACAAUGUGCGUAUCUUAAUUUUAAAAUUCUUCAUUGCUAAAAAAGGCUAACAGUGAAGCUUCAGCCAGUCACAAUAGUCACGUCUAAGAUCACUGAUUGCACAUCACCAUAGCAAGUGUAACAAUGAUGAAAAAGUUUUGAAAUGUUGCAAAAAUUACCAGAAGUGACACCGGGACACAAAGUGAGAAAAUGUUGAAAAAAUGCUCAAUGCAGAGUUGCCACAAACCCUCAACUUGUAAAAACUUGAAGCGUGAUAAGCCAAAUGCAGUAAAACAAAGUGUGCCUCUACCGAGCGGGCAGAACCACAGAGGUCAGCUUUGUCCUGGGGCCGGGCCACCUGAGCUGUGCUCCUCCAGCCUCUGACAUGUUCACUGUCCUGUGAUGUUAGGAGCAUCUGCUGGACGUUGAUCGGGGGCAGCUGACACUGAUUCUCACCUCGUGGACUUCAGGGCUGGAAGACAGAGAACUACGCUUCUCCACGGGUGAGAAGCUCUCACACAGUGUUCGAAAGGCAGAAGACACCUGUGUUUCUCUGGCAGCCAUAGAGGACGCAUUUGGCAAAUGGACAUUUUUGAAACUGCCUCCACGUUCCCUUGCUAGCCAGCCACUUGAGGCUGCAAGGCUGCCCUGUCGGCAAGGCUUUCUUGCAGGUUUCUGACCACUGGGCAAUGGCAUCAGCUUGUGGAGCCUUUGAAUUCCACUCAAACCUGACCAGCCUGAAAGCUGGAUACAACCUCUCCUGAAGCCCCUCUACCAGGCUUUCUUAAGGUUUGGCAAACACCUAUUUUCCUGCAUCUAGUCCCUUCCCUUUGAAAUACCUAGAGUUGCUUCAGUUUUCCCACCUGGACUCUGACCGUAACAGUGAACUUGAGUGGAACAUUUUAAGCUCUAGUCUAUCUAAACAUCUUUUUCUGCGGAGAAAACAGCCUGUCGUGUUUAUCAGUGUUCAGUCUUCUUCCCAGUUCCUGCACCUCCUGGAACCAUAGCCACUAGCCAGUCCCGUGGCUUCUGACGUUCAAGUGAAUUACACCGGAAGCGAAGUGAGGCUGUAUUUCCUCAGCUGCUCUCAUGACAGGAGAGCUCACACCUGUCCUGUCAUAGAACACCCCAUCGCUGCAGAGAGUUCUGGACAGCGCUGCUCUAGGCAGUCACGUGUAAAUCUCCACCCCUUUUGACAUGAGUCGUCGUCUUCUUAACGGUGCCUGGAAGGGUGAUGCCUUCCCAGUCGCUUGUGUUAUAAAUGGAGAAACUGACACCCCGGGUCAGGCAGUAACUCGGUAUCACCCGGGGGCCCACCAAAGCCCCAGCUUCCUUCCCUCCGCUAACCUGAGUCAUCGAGCAGUGCACAUCAGAAAUGUGUGUUUUCAUGUCAAAUGCAACACUAGUCUAGGAAAAAACUUUAAAUGAUUCAGAACACAACGCAGGAGUUCCCGUUGUGGCUCAGCGGGUUAAAGACCCCCCCAUCGUGUCUGCAGUUCAAUCCCUGGCCUUGCUCAUGGUCCCUGGCCUUGCUCAUGGAUUGAGGCUCUGGUGUUGCUGCGGCUGUGGCUGGGGUGUAGGUCACAUUCACAGCUUGGAUCCUGCAUUGCCGUGGGUGUGGCACAGGCUGGAAGCUGCAGCUCCCAUUCGACCCCUAGCCUGGGAACCUCCAUAUGCUGCAGGUGCUGCCCUAAAAGACAGAAAAGAAAAGAAAGGAAAGGAAAGAUAAGAAUAAAUAAACGAAUAAAUGAAAAACAUCAAACAAGCAAAAACUCCACUACAAACAAUAAAAGAAAACCAAGUAGCCACUCUUAACAAAUAACCCAUUAGCAUUGACUUUCCAAUGGAUUUAACCAAGCACUCUUUAAAUAAGACGGUCCUAGGUUUCUUUUAAUUAUUCCUAUUCCCCAAUUGAGCCAUGUUUUGCAUCUUAUUCUGAUUCAGAGACUCCGAGCAGGACUUUAAAUGACGUGUGGUGACAGCUUCUGUGGAGCCGAGUGACAGAGGCCAGGGUUCCCUCUGCAAAUCAUGGAACACGUCUGUUUUCUACGCGUUGGUCCCUGGGGGAUAAAUCCCUUCCUGAUAAAAAGGCUUAACUGGGUACUUUUGUCCAGUUGCUAUGGGAGCAUGUUUUCUUGGAAGGAGCCGUGAGUGUUUUGGAGGAAGGAGUAAUUACUUCUUAGGAGGCGUUCCCCUCUUGAAGCCUUUCUGGAAAGGAGCGCCCAGGCUCUGACCACCUGGGAGCCCGGGGGAUGUGCCACCCGGACGGAGGCGGAGAGGAAGACGACGGGACUGGCGUCGCUGCUCCUGAGACUCAAGUUUCGAAAACGGCGCAGAGAACCGUCCAGGAGAGCAACGUGCGUUUCCCCAGCAUCCGCUCUCCUCCCCAGAACAGCGUCGCGGUCUGUCGGAGGCUGGGCGGCCUUCCAAAGGUUAGAGAUGAGGCCAAAACAUAGCAUUCUGACCUUUUCGGAUGGCCAUUUCUGUCUUGGAAAUGCUAAAUACUGUCGCAUCACAGUUGCAAGGGCCCAUCCCUCCAACACAGCGGGGCGGGGAAGCUUCUGGGGACCUGGCCCGGGAGGCUUGCGUGCGCCAACUCUGAGCCGCGUGCUGCUCCGAGGCUCGGGAGAGGCGGCUGCAUGGGAGAGACCUGGGCAGGGGGCCCGUCCUGGCCGGCCCUUGGAUAGAUGUAUCUGCAGGCUUUUCUAGUGUCUUCAGUAUUUCCUCUUUCCCUUGCCUUUCUUUCAUCAGCAGCAGAUGCCUGCCCACCGACGACGCCGGAGCACUGAAGUUCACGGCAGAAGGACACUGACCGCAGGGGUGUUUUGAACUAAGCACGCCACUUUCUCCAGCCUCUGGGGCUGAGAGUUUCCUGGCAGGGCCAGCGGCCACCUCUCCUGUAACAGAGGCUGCCAGUGCCCUGCCCUCAUGCCCUCACUCUGCCUGAA